AGGGCUCGUGUUAUUCAGGAAUGACCAAGUAGACAGCUGUUAUUGCCAAGGCUGCCAACCAGCAAGCAGAUGGCAACGACCAUUGACCAUCAGCAACGGCAAGACGGGAAACGCCUGCAGUGACCUUCACUGGCUUCGAAAUUCCUUGAUAAUUUCUUUGAUACUGUUACACUGCUUUUUCAGCAGUUCACCUUCAGUUCCCCAAAUGAAGCCUUGGAGACUUGCAUUCUGUCCUCUUCUCCCACUGGGGAUGCAGAUGUAGACAACACCCAACGGUCUUUGUGACUGAUACCUCUAAAAUGGUGAUAUCUCUAGUGAGGUUACUGGGUUCCAUGCACUCAGGAAUGGGCUACUGUGUUCCAUGCACUCAGGAAUUGCCAUUUUAUGAACCUGAAGAAAGAGAAGCUGACUACGAGUAAAGGAGCAAAGAAAUUUGGUGUUCUAACAUUGUGCCUUCUGCUAUUGCUUUUUCCUUUCAUAAAAUGAAUUCGAUAAUUUUAUUGUA
This 505-nucleotide long non-coding RNA is filed under the name Anser brachyrhynchus (Pink-footed goose). Its description in RNAcentral is "lncRNA (ENSABRG00000006270.1)". Lineage: Eukaryota; Metazoa; Chordata; Aves; Anseriformes; Anatidae. The record is from RNAcentral.